GGAGAGGGUAAGGGACGGCAGGCUGAGGAGGGGUGUGGCAUAGCUUAGGGAUUUAGAAGUCCAGCAGGUGAGCAGGAUGAAGCAGGCGGGUUGGGCUGGAAACUUUAAUAAUUAAAAAAGAAAAAAAUCCAAUCAAAAUCAGUUCACUAACCGUGUUUUUACAACGGUCCGGAUCUGAGUUGUGGCUGCGGUCUGGUUUUUUGGCAGAAGCUGGCGCAUCUGGUGAUUACCAACUGCCUUCACCUGUCUGUGUUGCACACACCUCACUCACAUCCACCUGGGGAAAAGGAAAGGAGAGAAGGGAGAGGCUGCUGCCAGCUAAAGGGCAUGACAAUAUCAGGGAAUGUAAAUUAACUUUACUGGGAUGAAAUCUUAACAGGAACGUCAACCAACAUUAUCCCAGCACAUGGACCAGCAACUCCACUGGAGGAGGUCAAUGAGGAAUCCGUAUGACAUUAAUAUGCUCAAAGCAAAAGGCCUGGUCACAUGAGAGAGAAGGAUGGGUUUCAGGCCUGUAGCUGGGUCAAGCAUCAUGGGUUCAUAAUUCCCAUUUCAUGAUUAUUAGUUUCUCAUGCCAUCUGCUAACUGAAGAGGGGUCUCCCUGUGUAACACCAUGUCCUCUUGAUACACAGCUUAAUGUCUCCUUGUUUUAGUCCUAACCACCAUUUAGUGUCACCAUGGACAUUAUACAGGGUAAACAUUUGUUAGCAG
This is a non-coding RNA of Xyrichtys novacula (pearly razorfish), 711 nucleotides long. The record is from the annotation of a GenBank genome assembly. NCBI's taxonomy places the organism in Eukaryota, Metazoa, Chordata, Actinopteri, Labriformes, Labridae.